UCUUCCUACGGGGGGCAGCAGUGGGGAAUAUUGCACAAUGGGGGGAACCCUGAUGCAGCGACGCCGCGUGAGUGAAGAAGUAUUUCGGAAUGUAAAGCUCUAUCAGCAGGGAAGAAGAUGACGGUACCUGACUAAGAAGCCCCGGCUAACUACGUGCCAGCAGCCGCGGUAAUACGUAGGGGGCAAGCGUUAUCCGGAUUUACUGGGUGUAAAGGGAGCGUAGACGGUGCAGCAAGUCUGAUGUGCAAGGUCGGGGCCCAACCCCGGGGCUGCAUUGGCGACUGUUGAACUGGAGUACA
This 299-nucleotide ribosomal RNA is filed under the name uncultured bacterium. Its description in RNAcentral is "partial 16S ribosomal RNA". It matches the Rfam family "Bacterial small subunit ribosomal RNA", at positions 334 to 650 of the family's 1533-position model. The record is from RNAcentral.